RNAcentral lists this ribosomal RNA (207 nucleotides) under uncultured bacterium. Its description in RNAcentral is "partial 16S ribosomal RNA". It matches the Rfam family "Bacterial small subunit ribosomal RNA", at positions 1294 to 1500 of the family's 1533-position model. The record is from RNAcentral.
CGGAUUGUAGUCUGCAACCCGACUACAUGAAGCUGGAAUCGCUAGUAAUCGCGAAUCAGAAUGUCGCGGUGAAUACGUUCCCGGGUCUUGUACACACCGCCCGUCACACCAUGGGAGUCGGAAAUGCCCGAAGUCAGUGACCCAACCGUAAGGAGGGAGCUGCCGAAGGUGGAGCCGGUAACUGGGGUGAAGUCGUAACAAGGUAUC